UGUAUAAGAGACAGGUGAGUCAUCGAAUCUUUGAACGCACAUUGCGCCCUAUGGUAUUCCGUAGGGCAUGCCUGUUCGAGCGUCAUUCAAACCUUCAAGCUCUGCUUGGUGUUGGGCGUCUGUCCUGCCUCACGGCGCGGACUCGCCUCAAAUCUAUUGGCGGCCGGCACGUUGGCUUCGAGCGCAGCAGAAACGCGAACUCGGGCCCGACGGAUCGGCUCCCAGAAGCUACCCCCAUGAAUUUGACCUCGGAUCAGGUAGGGAUACCCGCUGAACUUAAGCAUAUCAAUAAGCGGAGGA
Molecule: unclassified non-coding RNA, 300 nt
Filed under: uncultured Preussia
Lineage: Eukaryota; Fungi; Ascomycota; Dothideomycetes; Pleosporales; Sporormiaceae
Description: sequence contains 5.8S rRNA gene, ITS2
Rfam family: 5.8S ribosomal RNA (bases 1-85)
Source: RNAcentral